This 492-nucleotide ribosomal RNA is filed under the name uncultured bacterium. Its description in RNAcentral is "partial 16S ribosomal RNA". It matches the Rfam family "Bacterial small subunit ribosomal RNA", at positions 29 to 507 of the family's 1533-position model. The record is from RNAcentral.
AGUGAACGCUGGCGGUAGGCCUAACACAUGCAAGUCGAACGGCAGCACAGUAAGAGCUUGCUCUUACGGGUGGCGAGUGGCGGACGGGUGAGGAAUACAUCGGAAUCUACUUUUUCGUGGGGGAUAACGUAGGGAAACUUACGCUAAUACCGCAUACGACCUACGGGUGAAAGCAGGGGAUCUUCGGACCUUGCGCGAUUGAAUGAGCCGAUGUCGGAUUAGCUAGUUGGCGGGGUAAAGGCCCACCAAGGCGACGAUCCGUAGCUGGUCUGAGAGGAUGAUCAGCCACACUGGAACUGAGACACGGCCCAGACUCCUACGGGAGGCAGCAGUGGGGAAUAUUGGACAAUGGGCGCAAGCCUGAUCCAGCCAUACCGCGUGGGUGAAGAAGGCCUUCGGGUUGUAAAGCCCUUUUGUUGGGAAAGAAAGGCAGCAGGUUAAUACCCCGCUGUUCUGACGGUACCCAAAGAAUAAGCACCGGCUAACUUCGUG